UUUCCGUAGGUGAACCUGCGGAAGGAUCAUUAACGUAUCUCCGAGUCCGGCGGUCGGCCUUGCCGCGCCCCGGCUCGAAACCACAAACCACCGUGCUCCUUUACGGCCCGGGUUUGCCGACGCGAGUCGCGCGAUCCGAAGCCGCAUACAAAACAGACUCCAGUUCAAAAGAAUGUUAAGCGGACUCCGAUCCGCCCAUUAACUGAAACAACUUUCAACAACGGAUCUCUUGGCUCUC
Molecule: unclassified non-coding RNA, 238 nt
Filed under: soil metagenome
Description: partial contains small subunit ribosomal RNA, internal transcribed spacer 1, and 5.8S ribosomal RNA
Source: RNAcentral